Molecule: ribosomal RNA, 497 nt
Filed under: uncultured bacterium
Lineage: Bacteria
Description: partial 16S ribosomal RNA
Rfam family: Bacterial small subunit ribosomal RNA
Source: RNAcentral
GAUGAACGCUGGCGGCGUGCCUAAUACAUGCAAGUCGAGCGAACAGACGAGGAGCUUGCUCCUCUGACGUUAGCGGCGGACGGGUGAGUAACACGUGGAUAACCUACCUAUAAGACUGGGAUAACUUCGGGAAACCGGAGCUAAUACCGGAUAAUAUAUUGAACCGCAUGGUUCAAUAGUGAAAGACGGUUUUGCUGUCACUUAUAGAUGGAUCCGCGCCGCAUUAGCUAGUUGGUAAGGUAACGGCUUACCAAGGCGACGAUGCGUAGCCGACCUGAGAGGGUGUUCGGCCACACUGGAACUGAGACACGGUCCAGACUCCUACGGGAGGAAGCAGUAGGGAAUCUUCCGCAAUGGGCGAAAGCCUGACGGAGCAACGCCGCGUGAGUGAUGAAGGUCUUCGGAUCGUAAAACUCUGUUAUUAGGGAAGAACAAAUGUGUAAGUAACUAUGCACGUCUUGACGGUACCUAAUCAGAAAGCCACGGCUAACUACGUG